CUAAGGCGUUGAAGCAGUGUAUGUCAGACUUCCAAGAAAAGCUCGCAAUGUCACAAAUAAAAGAUGCCUGUACCAUAACCGACACAGGUGGGUAGGUAGAGUAUACUAAGGGGCACGAGAUAACUCUCUCUAAGGAACUCGGCAAAAUGACUCCGUAACUUCGGGAGAAGGAGUGCCUUAUUUAUAAGGUUGCAAUAACAAGAUCCAAGAACUGUUUAUCAAAAACACAGGUCUCCGCUAAGUCGUAAGACGAUGUAUGGGGGCUGACGCCUGCCCAGUGCCAGAAGGUUAAAGAAGUUGGUUAGUGUAUGCGAAGCUGAUGACUGAAGCCCUGGUGAACGGUGGCCGUAACAAUAACGGUCCUAAGGUAGCGAAAUUCCUUGUCGGGUAAGUUCCGACCCGCACGAAAGGCGUAAUGAUUUGGAUACUGUCUCGGAGAGAGGCUCGGUGAAAUAGACUUGUCUGUGAGGAUGCGGACUACCUGCACCAGGACAGAAAGACCCUAUGAAGCUUUACUGUAACUUGAAAUUGGAAUUGGACUUUGCUUGCGCAGUAUAGGUGGGAAGCGUUGAAAAUAUUCUUGCGGGAGUAUUGGAGCUAUCAGUGAGAUACCACUCUUGUAAUGUUAGAUUUCUAACUUUGAACCAUAAUCUGGUCAAAGAACAGUUUCAGGUGGGCAGUUUGACUGGGGCGGUCGCCUCCCAAAUGGUAACGGAGGCGUACAAAGGUUUCCUCUGAACGGAUAGAAAUCGUAUCUAGAGUGUAAAGGCAUAAGGAAGCUUGACUGUGAGACCUACAAGUCGAGCAGGGACGAAAGUCGGUCUUAGUGAUCUGACGGUACUGAGUGGAAAGGCCGUCACUCAACGGAUAAAAGUUACUCUAAGGAUAACAGGCUGAUCUCCCCCAAGAGUUCACAUCGACGGGGAGGUUUGGCACCUCGGUGUCGGCUCAUCGCAUCCUGGGGCGGUAGUACGUCCCAAGGGUUGGGCUGUUCGCCCAUGAAAGCGGUACGCGAGCUGGGUUCAGAACGUCGUGAGACAGUUCGGUCCAUAUCCGGUGUAGGCGCUAGAAUAUUGAGAGGAGCCUUCUUUAGUACGAGAGGACCGAGAAGGACACACCGCUGGUGUACCAGUUAUCGUGCCAACGGUAAACGCUGGGUAGCUAUGUGUGGAGUGGAUAACCGCUGAAAGCAUCUAAGUGGGAAGCCCACCUCGAGAUGAG
This 1221-nucleotide ribosomal RNA is filed under the name metagenome. Its description in RNAcentral is "bacterial LSU rRNA". It matches the Rfam family "Bacterial large subunit ribosomal RNA", at positions 1577 to 2808 of the family's 2925-position model. The record is from RNAcentral.